CUCGCGGCCAUCGGGGAGUAGCCACCGUCCGCGUGACGGGGCCGCGUCAACAUGCUCGCGAGACAUCGCGUGGCGCGGCCGUCCGGAUUCGUCCGGAC
This 98-nucleotide small RNA is filed under the name Mesorhizobium sp. Its description in RNAcentral is "Manganese sequence". It matches the Rfam family "Manganese Mn2+ riboswitch aptamer (yybP-ykoY)". From Rfam's summary of the family: This RNA was originally discovered in E. coli during a large scale screen and was named SraF. The family was later found to exist upstream of related families of protein genes in many bacteria, including the the yybP and ykoK genes in B. subtilis. Lineage: Bacteria; Pseudomonadati; Pseudomonadota; Alphaproteobacteria; Hyphomicrobiales; Phyllobacteriaceae. The record is from RNAcentral.